CGAUUUUGCAAACGCAGCAGAAGAACCGGCUGUUCCAAAAGCACUGUGAGACUGCUGAGAAAGCUUCGGCUCCUCUUUCUUUCCAGGGGUUAUGGCAAAUCCACCAAAACCAAAGCCUCUCUUUGUACCAGGUCCUCCUUUAUUCCAAUUCAUGAUGCCUUCAACAGAUCGCGCGGGCAGCGCAGCCGCCGACCGCCGCUUCCCCGGUUACCGGGGCGGGGGGGUGGAGAC
RNAcentral lists this long non-coding RNA (231 nucleotides) under Gallus gallus (chicken). Lineage: Eukaryota; Metazoa; Chordata; Aves; Galliformes; Phasianidae. The record is from RNAcentral.